This 647-nucleotide long non-coding RNA is filed under the name Cyanistes caeruleus (blue tit). Its description in RNAcentral is "lncRNA (ENSCCEG00000007285.1)". Lineage: Eukaryota; Metazoa; Chordata; Aves; Passeriformes; Paridae. The record is from RNAcentral.
CCCAGGUGUCCCCAGGUGUCCCCAGGUGUGUCCAGGUGUGCUCAGGUGUGACCCCAGGUGUCCCCAGGUGUCCCCAGGUGUGUCCAGGUGUGCUCAGGUGUGUCCCCAACCCCUCCCAGGUCCCCGCCCCUGCUCCAGGUGCGUCUCUCGCUCACCUUCGAGCCCCAGGUGAUUCCGGCCGUGGUUUCCGAGUGUCCCGAGGAGGGGGAGGAGCCUCGGGCUCACCUGGCGCGGGCGCGGCUCUGCUUCACCUGCGCCAAACGCAGCCGCGACAGCUUCGGUUCCGAGCCCUCUCUCCUUCUCCGCUUCCGGGCCGAGCUCGAUCCCGGGAGGCUCCGGAGCCGCGGAAUUUUCGCUUCCGGAACCUUCCAGAACGGGAGCCUCCGGAUGGGGGAGGGGCGGAGCUGCCGGACCCUCGAGAUCUUCUCCAAGGGCUGCCCCCAGGACACGCUGACCCCUCUGACCCUUCGGGUGACCCUCGGUGGUCUCGGGGAGCCUCUGGAAGCGGCCGGAGGGCUCCGGCCACAGCUCGGACCCGACUCGGACACGGCCGUGACGGCCUCGGUGAGUGAGCGCAGAAAGUGACCCAAAACGGGCUAAAAAUGACCCAAAAAUCACCCAAAAUACACCCAAAAAUUGCACAAAAA